UCCCAAGGACGGGUAAGGGA
RNAcentral lists this unclassified non-coding RNA (20 nucleotides) under Mus musculus (house mouse). RNAcentral's name for it is "oocyte_clustered_small_RNA12484". Lineage: Eukaryota; Metazoa; Chordata; Mammalia; Rodentia; Muridae. The record is from RNAcentral.